AAAAAGAGUAUUUGCUCUAAGUCGUUCUAGUCGUCUUCCCUAAAACCCUAGAGAGAAACACAACCCCAGCUUCGUCUCUGAGAACCAAAAGACUGAAGAAAGCAGCAAGCAAUUGGGGUUUUGGUGGCGAAGGAAGGAAUGGAGCAGAGAAUGGCGAACACGUGGCGGAUGACGGUGAACGAGAAGAAGUUCAUCGAGACGGCAUUGGAGUCGGGGCUCCGAAUCGACGGCCGGCGUCCCUUCGACUACCGUAAGCUCGAAAUCAAGUUCGGGAAAGACGAGGGGUCCGUGGAGGUCCACCUCGGCCAAACUCAUGUGAUGGCCUUCGUCACUGCCCAGCUCGUCCAACCCUACCGGGACAGGCCCAAUGACGGCACCCUCUCCAUCUUCACCGAGUUCUCUCCCAUGGCCGACCCUUCCUUUGAGCCUGGCCGCCCCGGCGAGUCCGCCGUCGAGCUCGGCCGCGUUAUUGACCGCGGUCUCAGGGAGAGCCGGGCAGUUGAUACAGAGUCGCUUUGUAUUCUCUCUGGGAAAUUAGUAUGGGCUAUACGUGUUGAUCUCCACAUUCUAGAUAAUGGAGGGAAUCUUAUUGAUGCUGCUAAUAUUGCUGCACUGGCUGGUUUGUUGACGUUCCGGAGGCCUGAGUGCUCAUUAGGGGGAGAAAACGGUCAGGAAGUCAUCAUACAUCCACCCGAGGAGAGAGAGCCACUUCAUCUAAUAGUACAUCAUCUCCCUAUUGCAGUAACUUUUGCAUUCUUCAGUUAUGAGAGCAGUGUGGUUAUAGAUCCAACCCACCAUGAAGAGGCUGUUAUGGGGGGACGAAUGACCGCUACACUUAAUUCUAAUGGUGAUGUUUGUGCCAUUCAGAAGGCUGGAGGGGAGGCCAUCUUGCAGGGUGUUAUAAUGCAAUGUUUGCGAAUUGCUGCUGCCAAGGCUGGUGCCAUCUCAGAUAUGAUAAAGAAAGAGGUUGAUUCAUAUAACACAAAAAGAGCAUUACUGAAGAUCAAGCGUCAUUCUACUCCCAUGGAUGUAGAUAGAGGUGCUUCUGACAUAGGGCUGAAACAGAACUCCUCUGUUGACCAGAUGAGAGUUGAUGAAUUUUCAGGGCAUCAUGUGCAGAGAAUAAAGCAGGAGUGUGAGGAAGGCAUUGCCAAGCAAAGCGGGGAUGUUGAAAGUGAAACUAAAUUGUCAGACAAAACGCUAACUAACAGGAGUAAUGAGGAUACAAAGAAUUUCAUUGGAGGCCCCUCAAGUUGGGAUCCUUACUCUGUGGGUGUUGAUUCAGAUUCCUUGAAAGCUUCUCUAGCUUCCCAAGGUAUGCCAAUGCCUAUUGAGAAACAAAAGGACUCAAAAGGUGAGGAAACAAGAACCGAAGCCAAGCCAGAGGAUGCUCCUGAAAAUAACAAUCCAAAGACUUCACCCCUUAGGGAAGCUGAAUCUGCCGAACAAGCAAAUGGAGAGAAAACCCUGAAGGAUGCUGUAAAGGCGAAGAACAGGAAAUCCAGGAGAAAGAGUCACUCCUCUUCUGGUCCUAGCUAGAUGAACUUAUGCUCAUGGCAUAUACUUCAGGUACUGCUAUUAUGCCUGGAAGGCUGGAACUCAUGGCAAAACUAGUUCAAGGCCGUACAACUGCAGAUUUAUGCUACGGGUGAGUCAUUUGAGAUAUGAUAGAUGAUUGUCUACAUUCAAGGCAUGGCUUGACUAGAUGACUUCUACCCAGAAAUCUGUUCUCACUGUUGGUCAAAGCUCCUGAAUUUGCUUCUAGUGCAGUUUGGGUUGACUCGCCAGUUCACAGUUUGCAGAGGAUUGGAAAAUGAUAAUAUUCCUUUUAUUUUUAUGUGAUUACCAACAUGUGAUUGCCAAUAUUUAUGCAAUGGUAAGGUUAUAGGAUUUUUAUUUUUUAUUUUGCUUAGCCUACACGUAAUUGUAUUAA
This is an RNA transcript of Rosa rugosa (rugosa rose), 1933 nucleotides long. It is a transcript of the gene named exosome complex component RRP45A, with no coding region annotated. The record is from RefSeq and is a predicted model, not a curated record. The transcript has 10 exons. NCBI's taxonomy places the organism in Eukaryota, Viridiplantae, Streptophyta, Magnoliopsida, Rosales, Rosaceae.